Molecule: ribosomal RNA, 496 nt
Filed under: uncultured bacterium
Lineage: Bacteria
Description: bacterial SSU rRNA
Rfam family: Bacterial small subunit ribosomal RNA
Source: RNAcentral
CGCUCGCAGAGUAAACCAGUUUACUGGUGUGCGAAGCGAAGGCAAUCACAACAGACCCAAUCAACCCCGGCUAGGGAAGAGACGGCGAGGGAAAAUCGAAUGAAGUGCUGGAGUACACGAGCGGCGGACGGCUGAGUAACGCGUAGGAACGUACCCCAAACUGAGGGAUAAGCACCAGAAAUGGUGUCUAAUACCGCAUGUGCUCUAAGGAGUAAAGCUUCGGCGGUUUGGGAACGGCCUGCGUACGAUUAGAUUGUUGGUGAGGUAAUGGCUCACCAAGUCGACGAUCGUUAGCUGGUCUGAGAGGAUGAUCAGCCAGACUGGGACUGAGAACGGCCCAGACUCCUACGGGAGGCAGCAGUAGGGAAUUUUCCACAAUGGACGAAAGUCUGAUGGAGCAACGCCGCGUGCAGGAUGAAUGCCUUCGGGUUGUAAACUGCUUUUAUCUGUGACGAAUAUGACGGUAGCAGAUGAAUAAGGAUCGGCUAACUCCGUG